Long non-coding RNA from Bos taurus (domestic cattle), 862 nucleotides. NCBI's taxonomy places the organism in Eukaryota, Metazoa, Chordata, Mammalia, Artiodactyla, Bovidae. The record is from Ensembl.
AAACUACAUACCAUUUUUCUGCUCUUACAGCCCCACCUGGAGUUUCAUGGCCAUCGUGAAUUCUCUAUGUUGGCCCCUAGGUUACAAGUGGUGGGUGUUACUCAGCACAGGAGUAAGCUGCCUGAAUUAAAGGCCUGCAGCUUCUGCAUGAAUAAAUGCUGCUUGCUCAUUCUGUAGUGCUCCAGGAAGAGAUGUGCAAAGUUGUUACCUUCCUGCUAUUCCAAUGUACAACAGCUAAGUCUCUUUUAUCCUUAGGAAAACUACAAGUUUGAGCAAGAAAUCUUCAUGGAGAGAAGUGGAAACAAAACAUCCAGUCCCCACCAAAGGCUCCCAAAUCCAAGCUCACCAGGCUCCUCUGUCCAUGGGAUUUUCCCAGCAAGAAUACUGGAGUGGGUUGCCAUUUCUUCCUGCAGGAGAACUUCCCAACACAGGGGUCGAACCCAUGUCUCCUGCGUCUCCUUCAUUGCAGGCAGAUUCUUAACCUGCUGAGCCAUCAGGGAAGCCCAACACAUCUGCAAACACCCUUUUAAAAAAAGAAACUAUUGAUAAAAGAGAAUGUAUCUGUCCACUUAAAGGGUUAAAAAGUGUAAAAUGAUAUGGCAUCCUAAAAUGAAUUGAUAACAUGCUGACUCCUGCCUUUAUUGUGUGACUUUGUUGGUAUUUGGCUGUAUGUUUGUGCAAUUCUUGACAGUGAAAAGAGGGAUAGAAAAGAAGAAAAAUAAAAGGAUUAGAGCCUUAGGUCACAGUGAAAUUUCAAUGCUCCUUUUAGUAUGUUGACCAAUUAUAGACAUCUGAAACCAUGUGUACGAUAUUAUAGAAUCAUUAACAUGUUGAAAAUACUGGCAAGACAUUAAAGAUCUAG